UGGGGAAUUUUGGACAAUGGGGGAAACCCUGAUCCAGCCAUCCCGCGUGUGCGAUGAAGGCCUUCGGGUUGUAAAGCACUUUUGGCAGGAAAGAAACGUCAUGGGUUAAUACCCCGCGAAACUGACGGUACCUGCAGAAUAAGCACCGGCUAACUACGUGCCAGCAGCCGCGGUAUUACGUAGGGUGCAACCGUUAAUCGGAAUUACUGGGCGUAAAGCGUCCGCAGGCGCUUCGGAAAGAAAGAUGUGAAAUCCCAGGGCUGAACAGUGGAACUGCAUUUUUAACUACCGGGCUAGAGUGUGUCAGAGAGAGGUGGAAUUCCGCGUGUAGCAGUGAAAUGCAUAGAUAUGCGGAGGAACACCGAUGGCGAAGGCAGCCUCCUGGGAUAACACUGACGCUCAUGCACGAAAGCGUGGGGAGCAAACAGG
RNAcentral lists this ribosomal RNA (429 nucleotides) under Acidobacteriota bacterium. RNAcentral's name for it is "Acidobacteria bacterium partial 16S ribosomal RNA". It matches the Rfam family "Bacterial small subunit ribosomal RNA", at positions 355 to 776 of the family's 1533-position model. Lineage: Bacteria; Pseudomonadati; Acidobacteriota. The record is from RNAcentral.